AUUGAACGCUGGCGGCAGGCCUAACACAUGCAAGUCGAGCGGAGCGGCGGAAGGGUGAGUAAUUGCUAGGAAUCUGCCUGGUAGUGGGGGAUAACGUCCGGAAACGGGCGCUAAUACCGAAUACUAUCGGAUGAGCCUAGGUCGGAUUAGCUCGUUGGUGGGGUAAAGGCCUACCAAGGCGACGAUCCGUAACUGGGCUGGGAGGAUGAUCAGUCAUACUGGAACGGUGACACGUUCCAGACUCCUACGGGAGGCAGAAGUGGGGAAUAUUGGACAAUGGGCGAAAGCCUGAUCCAGCCAUGCCGCGUGUGGGAAGAAGGUCUUCGGAUUGUAAAGCACUUUAAGUUGGGAGGCGUUACCAACAGAAUAAGCACCGGCUAACUUCGUGCCAGCAGCCGCGGUAAUAC
Molecule: ribosomal RNA, 407 nt
Filed under: uncultured bacterium
Lineage: Bacteria
Description: partial 16S ribosomal RNA
Rfam family: Bacterial small subunit ribosomal RNA
Source: RNAcentral